This 68-nucleotide transfer RNA is filed under the name Tryblionella compressa. Lineage: Eukaryota; Bacillariophyta; Bacillariophyceae; Bacillariales; Bacillariaceae. The record is from RNAcentral.
UAUCUAUUGUGGUCAAUGAUUAUGUCUGCACUUAUGCUAUUGAUGACACUGAUGAGGAUAAUGAUGCU